GAGAGAGAGAGAGAGAGAGAGGAGGGAGGGAAGGAAAGGAGAGAGGGAGGACAUAGGAGUGACACCAAGUCAUGAAAAUAUCCACAGAGAUACUGGAGACAUACAGGGAGACACACAGAGAGACACAUACAGAAAGCAUUUACUGUUCAUUGUGCUAAGGACUGGAGGAGGCAGAAGAAGACAGAGCCUUUCCCUUCUUAUUGGUGGAUUCUAUUUCUCCCUCAAUGCUGAGUAAGUCCAAAUGACCUUUUUUGGCUACCAUAUUAACUCAUAUUCAGUGGACCUUUGGACACUAAAAGUCCCAAACCAUUUCCAGACAAACAGCUAUCUCCCCAUAGUUUUUACACUUGUGAAGUUUAUUGUUUAUACCCAAGCAUAAUAAUUUGUUUAUCUCCAUUCAGUUUCAUCAUAUUCAAUUAAGCCCAACAUGUUAGCCUCCCAAGAGGUUAUUAAAUCCUGAUCCUGUCCUCAGUGUGUUAGCUCUUCCUUCACACUCUGUGUCAUCUUUAGACUUAAUCAGUAAAUCAUUUAUGCUUUUAUAUGUCAUUGAUAAAAAUGUUAAACAGCACUGAGCCGUAUACAAGGCCCUAGGGAACUCCACUGAUGACUUUCUUCCAAGGUACCAUUGAGUGGUUAGUGACUACUCUUUGUCCCUGACCAUUCAACUAGUGUUGAAUCCAUCUGUGUAUAUAGUACAUCUGAAUGUUCAAUAGUCUAGUCUACAGCUCCCCAUCUUACCUACAAGAAUAGUAUGAAAUCUUUUACCAAACAAUUUCUAAAAAUCUGGGUAAAUUAUAGCUACAGAAUGGCCUUGAUGAACCCAUUUAGUAAUCUUGUCAUAAAUGGGGAUAAAGUUUAUUUGUCAUGAUCCAUUCUUGAUGAGGCAUUGAGGUGGUCCUGUGGAUAGACUGCUGGGUUUGGAGUCAAGCAAGAUGAUCUGAGUGCAAAUCUUGCAUCUUAAAUUUACAGGCUGUAUGACCGUAGGCAAGUAAUUUAGCUUCUUCCAGCCCCAGUUUCCUCAUCUGAAAAUGUGAGUUAAGAAUGGCUCCUACCUCAUCAGAUUGUGGUGAGUAACAGAUGAGAUAACACAUGUAGAGUGCUUUGACCACCUUGGAGAGUUAUAGAAAUGCAAUGUCUGGAGCUGGCUGGCUUCUUUUAAUCAUCAUUUCCUUUCCUAGGUGCCUGUUUACCACAGCUUUAAUAAGACAUUCUAGAAUUUUAUCAGUAAUUGAAGUAAAGAGCACUGGCCAAUAGUCUAUAGAUCACAUUCUGGGUUAUUUUUUUUAAUUGGCACCACCUUUGCCCUUCUCUGAUUUAGUAGGACUUUUCCUAUUCUCCAUGAUUUUUUCAAAGAUCACUGUCAGUGACUACUCCAUCAUAUGUGACAGUGCUUUCAGUACCCAGGGAUACUGCUCCUCUAAGAGAGGUGACAGAUUCAGCUAGAAUAGCUAGGUGUCUUUUACUAUCUUCCUACUUCUCGAUGGAAGCAAUCCCCUAUUAUUCCUUUGUGUUGUCUCCUUUUCUGCUCCAGGUUCAUUCUCACUGGCAGAGAAAACACAAAGAAAAUAACAAUUGUACAACUCUGCCUUCAACUUCAUCAGUUAUUAUCAUACAAGUAAGUCACUCUAAAUGGGGUUCUUAUUUAUUCUUUGAUCUUCCUCUUUUCCCCAUUAUAGCUCCUUUAAAAAUUGAUCUGUAAUCCUUAUCUUUCUUUACUUAACAGUCUUGCUCCAUUCUCAGCUUUAGCACCUCAAAGCAUUUUCUAAAAGAUCAUGCCACAUUUCUUUCAUUAAUUUUCUAUUAUCUACACUUGCUUUUGUCCUCUGUGCACGUCUAACAAAAAUCUAGUUUGGUUAAUGAGUUCCCUGUGUAUCCACAUUGGUCUCUUUCAACAACUACCAUUUUACCUCCUCACUGGAAUAUUUUCUCCUUGUGUCUUCAAAUCUUCACUCUAAGGAGUUUCCUAUUUCUUCUACAUAACCAUCCCAGAAUUCUGGGACCUGGAACCGUUCUACAUAUUUUUUAGUCCUUGAAGUCUUCUCUCCCAAUAUCUAGGGCACACAAUAUACUAUGCCUGGUUUUCCUUUUUUUCUAUAUCACAAACUCUAAGAUGGAGUAAUCAUUUGCAAUUAUUUUCACCCCAUAAAUCAUUUUAGCAACAAUAACAAUAAACAACAAUGACAUAAAAUACCAUCAUUUAUGAAGAGCUCAUUAUGAGCAAUACACUGAGCUAAGCACAUAGGAUAUGGAGACAUAGAAAAGGUAUUUGCUAAGUGUGUUUUGACCAUUAUCCAGUUUGACCCUUACAAAAUUGUCCCAUGUGGUAGGCACUAUUGGCAUUAUUAUCCCUGUUUCAUAGAUGAGAAUACUCAGAGAGUCCACUGGGCCCUUGGUAAAGUCUCCCCACAUCCCUCAAACUAGAAAGCCCCAAUGAGAGCCAUUUCUGCACUCUUGAGUUUUGGAAGGAUGUUGUGCAUCCAGGUUCACACGGGGGGCUUUGUGUAGGGGACAGACAUUGGCCUGAAUGGUCUGUAGUGUUCUGUUGUUGACUCACUGUGUGACAUUAGGCAUAACUUUGUGUCUCAUUUCCUGGGUCUAUAAAAUGAGAGGUUGGAUUCAAUGAUGCCUAAGGUCCCUUCUAGCUUUAACAUUCUAGUACCCUGAGGUGCCUUCAGAAGACUAUGAGCAAGCCCAGUACUGCCCAAUAAUGGAUACAUUUAAAAGGACAAAUUAUAGUGCCUGGUACAUAAUAGGAUGCUUACAAAAGGGCAAUGAGUUUAGGGAGAAAGGAUGGAGAAAAUGGGAAUGAGAAGGCUUGGGAAUCAUAAAGUUUGGGUUGAAUAUGCACUAAAUAAGAUUAGACAGAAGCCGGUUUCCUUUGUAAAUUAAUAGGCGUUCAUUCUCGUUAGACUCACUUUGGAAAACCAAUCCGUUAUUAUUUCCCUUAAUGGAGAGCAGAGUGAUGUCUUUACCUUCCUGUCCAUUGAGCCUCCUGGAGGCUUACCUCCUUUUGGUUUCUCUCUUUGAUCUCUUCUGCUGGCACUCUGUCUGUGUUCAGUAGAGGUUACUAGACCAUAGCACCUGCCUCCCUCCCCACCCCCAGCCCAAAAAGAAGUGCCUCGAGAAGAUCAGUGUUGGGAGAGGCCGUUCUGCUGGGUGGUCCCAGCCUCCCAACUCCUCUCCUCUAAAUCUCCCCAGACGUGUAACUGAAAAGAAAGGUCUCUUUGCAGCUGGGAACAUGGGGGGAACCUUUUUCUUGCUUUUGCUUUCCCUGAUUCCUGCUCAUCUGUCCAGCGCCCGCCUGGAGCAGGAGGUCUCUGUCAUGGGCAUUCAGGGAGGCUCUGCCAUCCUCACCCGUCAACUCUUUGAUUCUAUUUCCACUGUGGUGCCCUGGUACCGGCUCCAGGAUGGAAGGCCCCCAGGGCGCUUUCUCUACUUUUCCUUGCACCUAGGCACAGCCAAGUUUGAUAGGGGUUUUGAUGAUAAUAAAUUCCAGGCCCAUAAGGAUGCAUUUAAUGAUGGGAAUAGUGCCUUGCUAAACAAGAAGCUGGCUGUGAGUGACACUGGCAUGUAUUACUGUGCUGUCUGGGACAACCACAGUGCCCCAGGAGGUAUCUCCUCUCCACACAAAAUGCCCUGCUGUCUUGAGCAGCUUGGAGCAGCUGGUACUCAACACAGUAGGGCAAGUUUCUUCUUCAAUCCUACCCUGCCCUUGCUCACUUCAACGUGUGCAGGGACUUAGCUA
Phascolarctos cinereus (koala) is the source of this 3745-nucleotide non-coding RNA. The record is from the annotation of a RefSeq genome assembly. Lineage: Eukaryota; Metazoa; Chordata; Mammalia; Diprotodontia; Phascolarctidae.